This 382-nucleotide ribosomal RNA is filed under the name Sporisorium sp. RNAcentral's name for it is "partial small subunit ribosomal RNA". It matches the Rfam family "Eukaryotic small subunit ribosomal RNA", at positions 582 to 975 of the family's 1831-position model. The record is from RNAcentral. Lineage: Eukaryota; Fungi; Basidiomycota; Ustilaginomycetes; Ustilaginales; Ustilaginaceae.
AUUCCAGCUCCAAUAGCGUAUAUUAAAGUUGUUGCAGUUAAAAAGCUCGUAGUUGAAGUUUGGUCUCGGACGCUGGGUCUGCUUAAUUGCAUGUACCUGACGGUCCGAGACUUCCUUCUUGGUGAACGGCCGCCUUCGGGUGGUCCGGAACCAGGACUAUUACUUUGAAAAAAUUAGAGUGUUCAAAGCAGGCCAUAGGCCCGAAUAUAUUAGCAUGGAAUAACAGAAUAGGACGUGCGGUUCUAUUUUGUUGGUUUCUAGAACUGCCGUAAUGAUUAAAAGGGACAGCCGGGGGCAUUAGUAUUUGCACGCUAGAGGUGAAAUUCUUGGAUUGUGCAAAGACUUCCUACUGCGAAAGCAUUUGCCAAGAAUGUUUUCAUCA